CCCUUAGAUGUUCUGGGCCGCACGCGCGCUACACUGACGAAGUCAGCGAGCAUGUCCUACGCCGACAGGUGCGGGGAAUCUUGUCAAACUUCGUCGUGAUGGGGAUUGAUUAUUGAAAUUCUUGAUCAUCAACGAGGAAUUCCUAGUAAGCGCAAGUCAGCAGCUUGCGUUGGUUACGUCCCUGCCCUUUGUACACACCGCCCGUCGCUACUACCGAUUGAAUGGUUUAGUGAGAUCUUCGGAUUGGCGCCACUGCGGCUCAGCAAUGGGCUCGGUGGAUGCCGAAAAGUUGAUCAAACUUGAUCAUUUAGAGGAAGUAAAAGUCGUAACA
RNAcentral lists this ribosomal RNA (331 nucleotides) under uncultured eukaryote. Its description in RNAcentral is "partial 18S ribosomal RNA". It matches the Rfam family "Eukaryotic small subunit ribosomal RNA", at positions 1470 to 1796 of the family's 1831-position model. The record is from RNAcentral.